Molecule: transfer RNA, 65 nt
Filed under: Amalotermes phaeocephalus
Lineage: Eukaryota; Metazoa; Arthropoda; Insecta; Blattodea; Termitidae
Also listed under: 1 other name
Description: tRNA-Ala
Source: RNAcentral
GGGGCUAUAGUUAAUAAUAACAUUUGAGUUGCAUUCAAAAAGUACUACCACAAUAGUUAGUCUCA